GUGGGGAAUCUUGCGCAAUGGGCGAAAGCCUGACGCAGCCAUGCCGCGUGAAUGAUGAAGGUCUUAGGAUUGUAAAAUUCUUUCACCGGGGACGAUAAUGACGGUACCCGGAGAAGAAGCCCCGGCUAACUUCGUGCCAGCAGCCGCGGUAAUACGAAGGGGGCUAGCGUUGCUCGGAAUUACUGGGCGUAAAGGGCGCGUAGGCGGACAGUUUAGUCAGAGGUGAAAGCCCAGGGCUCAACCUUGGAAUUGCCUUUGAUACUGGCUGUCUUGAGUACGGGAGGGGUGAGUGGAACUCCGAGUGUAGAGGUGAAAUUCGUAGAUAUUCGGAAGAACACCAGUGGCGAAGGCGACUCACUGGCCCGUUACUGACGCUGAGGCGCGAAAGCGUGGGGAGCAAACAGGAUUAGAAACCCGGGUAGUCC
Molecule: ribosomal RNA, 425 nt
Filed under: uncultured bacterium
Lineage: Bacteria
Description: bacterial SSU rRNA
Rfam family: Bacterial small subunit ribosomal RNA
Source: RNAcentral